This 75-nucleotide transfer RNA is filed under the name Marmota monax (woodchuck). RNAcentral describes it as "tRNA.Gly". It matches the Rfam family "tRNA". From Rfam's summary of the family: Transfer RNA (tRNA) molecules are approximately 80 nucleotides in length. Their secondary structure includes four short double-helical elements and three loops (D, anti-codon, and T loops). Further hydrogen bonds mediate the characteristic L-shaped molecular structure. tRNAs have two regions of fundamental functional importance: the anti-codon, which is responsible for specific mRNA codon recognition, and the 3' end, to which the tRNAs corresponding amino acid is attached (by aminoacyl-tRNA synthetases). tRNAs cope with the degeneracy of the genetic code in two manners: having more than one tRNA (with a specific anti-codon) for a particular amino acid; and 'wobble' base-pairing, i.e. permitting non-standard base-pairing at the 3rd anti-codon position. Lineage: Eukaryota; Metazoa; Chordata; Mammalia; Rodentia; Sciuridae. The record is from RNAcentral.
GCUGGGGUUGGGGCUCAGUGGUAGAGUGCUCACCUGCCAUGUGUGAGGCACUGGGUUCAAUCCUCAGCACCAGAU